AGGUUCUCUUAUUUCCCAACGUGUGCGUAUCCAUAAUGGUUAAUCUCUAUUAUUUUCUUGAUCCUUAAGAACGACGUAAAGUGCUCUUGGUCCCCAACAAUGACUUGUUUCAAUGAUCGUGAAACUCCAUACACUUGCCUUGAUAUUAUGGAAACCAAACCAGAUUCACAUGUAAAACCCCUCACUUUGAAAGUUCAUCCUCCGGUGCUUGGCUCCUUCCAGCUUGUAAGAAAUUCGUUGGAAACUUCCUUCCAUCUCACAGAAUGGUCAACG
RNAcentral lists this long non-coding RNA (273 nucleotides) under Capsicum annuum. RNAcentral's name for it is "long non-coding RNA (CANN_LNC017459)". Lineage: Eukaryota; Viridiplantae; Streptophyta; Magnoliopsida; Solanales; Solanaceae. The record is from RNAcentral.